RNA transcript from Apis cerana (Asiatic honeybee), 12363 nucleotides. It is a transcript of the gene named Protein tyrosine phosphatase 10D, with no coding region annotated. The record is from RefSeq and is a predicted model, not a curated record. NCBI's taxonomy places the organism in Eukaryota, Metazoa, Arthropoda, Insecta, Hymenoptera, Apidae.
UAGGUUGAUGGUAGGGGGAGGAGGAAAGGUGGGGAAAACGUUGGUGGUGGUGGCGGCUGCGCCGGGUAUCCGGCUGGGGCAGUAGUCGGCGGCGUUUCGAAUGAUGUGGAGAGAGAGAGAGAGAGAGACGGAGAAGGAAAGGAGAGAGAAAGAGAGAGUGAGAGAGAGAGGGUCGAAUGGAAUGGAAAGGCAGUCAGGUUAGCUGCGGUGCGGUAGGGGAGGGCAGGAACGAGGCAAGGCAAGCGAUUUAGCUGGUGCUGGUUCGGCGAGCCACGAGUUGGAGUGGCGAGAGAGCAGCCGAGGUCCCGUUGCCCGUGCCUGCACCGGGAGAGGCGUCAUGAAAGCGCGCCAGUUGACCGAGUGCACCUCACCUCGGACGAAACCGCGUAUUUGCCGUCGUUGAGGAGAGGCCUACCUUGCCCUCUCUGCUUUCGUGGCAAGGAUUCGGCCGGUGGCUCUCCUGCUCCUCGCUGUCACGCGCCUCUAUUGUUUCUCCAGUGCGGGGGGAGGGGGGGGGGAAUCUUGGUUUUUGCCAGUAUCCGGAUAGAAUAGCGGCGCGUAUCCGUGUCGUGUGUCGGUCGAGACGUACUCGAUUUUCGUCAUUCGUAACCCGUGUGUACUCGUUUCAGAGAGAAGUUUCACCCAGUCAAUAGUGUGCGAGUGAGUACGCGAUGCGUGAGACGUGCCGUUUGGAUUGAUCAUCGCGGAUGUCUACGCUUCGGUCUGCCUUUUGACGAGGGAGUUCGAGUGGGUGGAAAAGGACGAAGGAAAGAAGAAGUUUUUCGUUCCCUGUUUCGCACGACUCGUUUUCGCGUCACGCGAAUUUCUCGUGGCGCGAUACGUUGUUAUUGACAUAUCGAUUUGGUUGGCACGGUGCUCGUUCGUUUGGCAUCGAAUCGUGGUGGAGAUCUAGAGAGAAGGAAACACCGAGAGGAGGGAAAAGAAGAAAAAUAAAGAGAAAUAUGAAAACUCGUUUCUGUCAGUGAGCACGGCUCGGAUGAAAGUAUUAAAACGUUCUUUCUUUCGGUUUCACGUUGAUAACCACCGUCGCCUCGGUGGCCUGGCGUGUUUCACCUUGACGUUGAAACGUUGAACGUAGUGGCACGUUUCGGCUGAUAUUUCUCAUCAUCGAAUCGAGAGAGCGAGGAAACGGAGCAUUUCGACAGACACGCGAUAUUCUUUGUUAUUCUUUGUUAUCGUAACGAUAUCGUACACAACGUUGCACGUACGUUCUCUUUUCGAUUUCGUAUUUUCUGUAUCUGACGAUCGAUUCGAAACACGAAAGGAAUAAAAGGAACAAAGAUAGAUUGAAUCGGCUCGAAGAUUAAUUCAAAUUCGUCGGGCGUUCGGCGACGUCAACGUGGGCCGCUUUAAACAAGCGAAAGGAAACUUGUAGCACCAAAAAAAAAAAAAAAAAAGAAAGAAAUAACGAUCGGACCAGAAGAUUAUUAAAAACCUCGUACAUUCCAUUUUAUUUUUUAACACAAAGUAACAAAAGUUACGCAACGAGUUACCUCCUUCGUCGUAAGAGAAAGAAGAAGAAAAAGAAGAGAGAAGCGAGAAGAAUAUUAAUCAACGUCCGAUAAUAAUCGUAAUUUGAAGUACAAUUUUCCUGGAUCCGAUAUCGAACAAUUUGACUGGUCGGUAACGUUAGUGACAUCUCCGAUUUCACGAAACGCUCGGUUCGUUACCUUGGCGUUGUCUCGGGCAAGGCAAGGAGGGUGGCAUCCCCUCGUCUCGUGAUCCCGUUCCACGCUCGUCGAGGGGCCGAAACGGAACGGAUAGGAGAGCGUCGAAGAGAGAAGAAAGUACAAGGCCUUAUCUAAGCUCUCUCCAACUCUUUCGACCGCCGUCGAACAAUCGAGUCGAAGAGAGAAAAGAAGAAAAAGAAGAGAGAGAGAGAGAGAGAGAAAGAUGAUAGUGCACGAGCUCGUUAUCAAACUUUACGUGGCCAUUGUCGACGAGCUCGUUGUCGGUUGCCCGUAUCGUUCCAGGUAAAAUUCGAAUUCGUGAAAAAGAGGGGCACGACAUGAUCCUCGCCGUUUCGUCGCGGUUCAUCGACACUUUUGCCUGACAUUCCAUUAUUAUUACACGAUACGAUUCGAUAUCGCAUCGAAGGACAGGUUGCUCCCUUCGGAGGAGGCGAUCACGUGCGAGCUCGACUUUAAACGAAUCGUUGACCCAGUCCAGUCAUGGCGGAACCAGGGACCAGAGCUAUCGUAAGCAACGACAGAACGAGAAAAAAGGAAUCGUUGAAUCCUCGUUUCCAGAGUGCGGUGAUAAAAUUGUGAAUGCCUCGACUCUGGCCGUCGUGGUCGUCGCUUCAACAUUUGAAAAUCCGCGUACGUUGGGCGGCCGCGAACUAGUCGAGCAGGAAGCGUGCACACGUUGGUGUGACACACGCGGUGACACACGUGGUCGGCCGUUUGGGUACCGUUUCCAACAUUCCUAUCCGAGCUAUCCGGAACGAGUUAGAGGGGAGGAGGCGGAGGAGUAGUGUUCCGGUUAGCCGAACCGUCGAGCCAGCCAGCCGUCGAUGGAUAUGGCAGCCGCUGUUGUUUCUCCUCCACGGUUCCAACGUAGUCGGCGGCGUGCUACCUGUGAAUCGAGCGAACAGGUGUUGUCGCAAGGUGUUGCCCGGGCCGGGAUACGUGAUUCCUCGUGAUAGCAGCAGGCACACGGCUCGUCAAACUGUCUGCGGUAGUGGUGUGUGCCACUCGUGUUUAACUCGAUCGAUCGUGUGUGCGUGUGCGUGUGUGUGUGCGUGUGUGUGCGUGCGUGCGUGUGAGAAGGAGAGAGAGAGGGAGAGAGACGAUCGACACGAUUCCUCGCGUGCAUUCUUAGUGACCGAAAGUGUUUGACCGAAGUGAUACACGGUGAGUUUAGGUGUAAUCGGUGGCCAAGAAGCGGAGAAGUAGGCCGCGGAGGAGAAAGGAGAGGAGAGGGAAUAUACACACGGUUGAAAUUGGUGCGAGGGAGAGGAAGAAGAAGAAGAAGAAGAAGGAGAAGAAGGAGGACAGAGUCGUGGGAUACGCGUUGAUCCGUGUUGGUCCAGAAAAUUAAGGAUGAAGAGCAGGAUGGUCGAUCGCGCGCGAUCCAUAUCCAGGUUUCGCGGCACCCUUCUUCUGCUUCUGACGCUGCUCGCGGAGGUCACGUAUUCGGCAGACCUCGCGAUCGAGAUACCAGGAAACUUGAGCCAGGGAGGUUCUUGGUACCGUUUGGACUACAGCCCUGCGGUCGGUUAUCCACCACCGAACACCACCAUAGCCGCCAUCGACAUAGGCGACGUGAUAAAAUUCAAGGACGGCCUGCCAGGCACCAAAUACGAAUUUUGGUUGUACUAUAGCAACAGCAGUCUCCACGAUUGGCUAACAUGGACCGCGUCCAUAACCACGGCCCCGGACCCUCCCUCCAACCUCACCGUCUCGGUGAGAAAUGGGAAGACGGCGAUAGUCUACUGGGCGCCGCCUGCCCAGGGCAAUUAUUCCGGGUUCCGGUUAAGGGUGCAAAGUUUCAGCGACACAGGGAAUCCUAAAACAAGCGUCAUACCGGCGGACGCUGUGCCGUACGUGCUCCGCGACCUCAUACCAGGGGCGACGUACUCCCUCCAACUGUUCACCGUGUUGGACACCAAGGAGAGCGUCGCGUACACGAGCAGGAAUUUCACCACCAAGCCGAACACACCGGGCAAGUUCAUCGUAUGGUUCAGAAACGAGACGACCUUGUUGGUCCUCUGGCAGCCUCCCUAUCCUGCUGGGAUUUACACCCAUUACAAAGUUAGUAUAGAUCCAGCAGACGCCAUAGAAUCCGUUCUUUACGUGGAGAAGGAAGGGGAGCCCCCCGGGCCUGCACAGGCAGCUUUCAAGGGGCUCGUUCCUGGCAGAGCUUACAAUAUUUCGGUUCAAACGGUGUCGGAGGACGAGACUUCGACCCCGACCACGGCCCAGUAUCGAACGGUGCCGUUGCGACCCCUCAACGUCACCUUCGACAAGCCCUCGAUAACGUCCACCUCGUUCCACGUGUUCUGGAAUCCGCCCGAGGGAAUGUCCGAAUUCGACAAGUAUCAGAUAUCGUUGGGGGGCAACAAAAGGCUCGCCCCCGUUACGAGGAACAGGGACGACGAGAGCAAGUGGGAGUUCAAGGAUUUGGAGCCCGGGAAAACUUACCAGGUCGUGGUGAAGACCGUCUCGGGCAAGGUUACCAGUUGGCCGGCCAACGGGGACGUUACUCUGAAACCGCUGCCGGUGCGCGAUCUUAGCGCGGUGAUCGACGAGAAAACCGGGAUGGUGGAAGUUUCCUGGCACCCGGAGAACUCGAGCACCCAGGACAGUUACAAGCUUCAGUAUCACGAAGUGGAAACUACGAUCGGCGGUGAUAGCAACAUGUUGACAACCGAUAAGACCAAGGUCACGUUGGAGGCUUUACUGCCAGGCAGGAAUUACUCGAUAAUCGUCCAGGCGAUUAGCAACAAGGUGGAAUCGAACGAGACCGUGCUCUACCAAGUGACACGGCCCUCGAGCCCGAUAAUCGAAGAUCUGAAGCCGACCGAGAUGGGGUUGAACAUCUCGUGGAAGAGCGACGUUAACUCGAGGCAAGAGAAAUUCGAGGUGACGCACAACAGGAACGACACCGGGGAGAGCGCGACCACCUUGACCACGGAGUCCCACAUAGUUCUCGAGGACCUCUAUCCCGGGGCGGCUUACGAGGUCAAAGUUUUCGCCAUUAGCCACGGGCUCAGGAGCGAACCUCACGAUUAUUUUCAAGCCGUUCUGCCGCACCCGCCAAAGAAUUUAAUCAUCGAGAAAGUGACGACGGGGAACACCGUGGUGGUCCGUUGGGAGGCGCCUACGGAUUCCUUGUAUUCCGAGUUCUCGAUACGAUACCGGACGGAGGACGACCCCAGGUGGGUGAAGCUGCCCAGUGUUCGCGAGACGGAGGCCGAGGUGGCGGAUAUGACGCCGGGGGAGAAGUACACGAUCCAAGUGAACACCGUCAGUUACGGGGUGGAAAGUCUGUACCCGCUUCAAGUGAACCACACAGUUCGGUCUAACCCGGUGCUCAACAUCACCCCUAUCGUGGACUCGACGAACGUGACCCUGGAAUGGCCCAGGCCCGAGGGCAGAAUCGAGACGUACGUGAUAAGGUGGUGGCCGGUGGACAAUCGCGAGGACGUGCGCACGAAGAACGUGACCGAGAGCAACGACGUGGCCGCGGGUGGCCUCUACGAAGAGAACUCGGUGCAGAGGGUGUUGGUCGGCGAUCUUAUGCCCGGUGUUCAGUACUCCUUCGUAAUAUGCACCAUCUCCUAUAACUUGGUCAGUGAGAUCACCAAUCUGACUACGAGGACAAUGCCGCUGAUCCAAUCGGAAGUGGUUGUGGUGGUCGAUCAGGAUCAGCCUGACUCGUUGACCUUGAGAUACACACGGACCCCGGUUCAAUCCUCCAAGUUCGAUCUGUACCGGUUCCGGAUCAGCGACUCGAGGAACACGACGAAACAGAAGAUGGUGGACGACGUGGACACCAAAGUGACCUUCACCGGCCUCACGCCCGGUAAACUGUACAACGUUACCGUUUGGACCGUCAGCGAUAACGUGGAGAGCAGGCCGCUGCUCAGGCAGGAUCGACUUUACCCCGAACCAGUCACGUCCAUUCAAGCCAUAGACAUCAACGACACGAGGAUCACGCUCACGUGGGACAUACCGCGUGGACAGUACGACGCUUUCGAGGUUCAAUACAUAAACACGGAGGGGAAUUACAUUCAGAACAUCACCACCGUGAACUCGAUAACGAUCUCCGAUUUGAAACCGCAUAGAAAUUACACUUUCACAUUGGUGGUCCGUUCCGGGACCGCGUCCUCUUAUCUGAGAAUAUCGAAUCCUCUGAGCGCGAGUUUCACCACCAGCGAGUCCUAUCCUGGAAAGGUGGAGAAGUUCCAUCCCACGGACAUUCAACCGAGCGACAUUAGCUUCGAGUGGUCGCUCCCCAGCCAAGAGCAGAACGGCAUCAUAAUAAAGUACACCAUCACCUACGGUUUGGACGGCUCGAACCACACUCAGAUGCAGGAUUUCAAGCCGAACGAAUACCGCGGCGUGAUCAAGUCUCUGAUACCUGGAAAGACGUACAUGUUCAGGAUCCAGGCGCAGACGAGGAUAGGGUUCGGGCCGGAGGCGGUGUGGAAGCAGAAGAUGCCGAUCCUCGCUCCUCCCAAACCGCCCACGCAGGUGGUGCCGACCGAGGUGUGCAGGAGCAGCACAACGAUACAGAUACGGUUCAGGAAAAAUUACUUCAGCGAGCAGAACGGAGCCGUCACGUCCUACACGAUCAUCGUCGCCGAGGACGACAGCAAGAACGCAUCUGGCUUGGAGAUGCCCAGCUGGAGGGAUGUUCAGGCUUACAGUAUCUGGCCACCGUAUCAGGUGAUGGAGCCUUAUUAUCCUUUCAAAAACGGGUCCGUGGAGGAUUUCACGAUCGGCAGCGAGAAUUGCGACAACAAGAUCGGAUACUGCAACGGCCCGUUGAAAUCUGGAUCCACGUACAGAGUAAAAGUUCGCGCGUUCACCGCCCCGGACAAAUUCACGGACACGAGUUACAGUUUCCCGAUUCAAACAGGAUUGCUGCUGGCAGACAAGGACAAUACGGCUAUCAUAGUUGGAGUCACGGUCCCGAUAGUACUUUUACUGGCUUUAUUGGGUAUCGGGUUAUUGGUCAGGCGGAGAAGAAGUCAGGGACGGAAGACAACCGAAACGAGGACCACUGACAAUUUGUCCUUACCGGACAGCGUGAUCGAUACCAGUCGGCCAAUCAAGAUAGAAGAUUUUUCUGAACAUUAUCGGACGAUGUCGGCCGAUUCCGACUUCCGUUUCUCGGAGGAGUUCGAAGAGUUGAAACACGUCGGAAGGGAUCAGCCUUGCACAGCCGCCGAUCUGCCGUGCAACAGGCCGAAGAAUCGUUUCACCAAUAUUUUACCUUACGAUCACAGCAGAUUCAAGUUGCAACCCGUGGACGACGAGGAGGGUUCCGAUUACAUCAACGCCAAUUACGUCCCCGGGCACAAUUCUCCGAGGGAGUUCAUCGUCACUCAAGGUCCUUUACACUCGACGCGCGACGAUUUCUGGAGAAUGGUCUGGGAAAGCAACAGCAGGGCGAUCGUAAUGCUGACCAGGUGUAUCGAGAAAGGAAGAGAGAAGUGUGACCAUUAUUGGCCAGUCGACACUCAUCCCGUCUAUUACGGUGACAUUUGUGUAACCAUAUUGAACGAGACGCAUUAUCCCGACUGGAGCAUCACGGAGUUCAUGCUGUGCAGAGGAGACGCGAAAAGAGUGAUUCAACACUUCCAUUUCACAACGUGGCCGGACUUCGGCGUUCCAAAUCCCCCUCAAACGUUGGCCAGAUUCGUUCGGGCGUUUAGGGAAAGAGUGAGGCCGGAUCAGAGGCCGAUCGUGGUUCACUGCAGCGCGGGAGUCGGCCGUAGCGGUACGUUCAUCACGUUGGACAGAAUAUUACAGCAGAUCCUGGUGUCCAAAUACGUGGACAUCUUUGGGAUAGUGUGGGCGAUGAGGAAGGAGCGUGUGUGGAUGGUCCAGACCGAGCAACAGUACAUUUGCAUACACCAGUGUCUUCUGGCGGUGUUGGAGGGCCAGGACAUGACUGGCCCGCCGCGAGAGAUUCACGACAAUCAGGGAUUCGAAGGCAAGAAUCGAAGCUCGGUUGAAAAUACAAACAGUCCUGGCGAGGAUGAAAAGGAAAGGUGACCCUCGAACUGCGAUUCCGGCGUCGAUGAUUUCUCUCUUGUAUGGAGUAUUUUGCAUGCGGAUAACUAAUAGUAGUUUUACCAACGCACGUGGCACGAGUACUAAUCUAUAGAAAGUAACACAUUUGCUUUGAAUGUACAGGCAAAGAAGUAGAUUUGUAUUGUUUGUUACAUGAAUAUUUAUUUCGUUGAUAUUGAAAGACGACGAAGGAAUAGCGGAAUCAGGAAUGUGAUGUUCGAAUACCUCGAUUCAUUCAGGGAUCAACGAACACGAGGAUGCUUUAGAGAUAUUUUGAGAAGAGGUGCGGUGCACCGUGAAAAAAAAAAUAUAUAUAUAUAUUUAUAAAUAUAUAUAUAUAUAUAUAUAUAAUAUUACUACAUGCGUGGCGUGUUGUCGAAAAUGGAGAAAAACUAAGGGAAAUGGAAGAAAUCAUUGUACACUCACGAGAUAUACCAGAAGUGCUUCUAAAAAAGAGACGAGAAACUAGCUUAGCUUCGUUGCUUAAGAAGAAGCGUUCGAGAUGAUUUACGUCUUUUUUAGUUUUCUUGCGAGAGGAACAACAAUAACAGCAGUCAAGACUAUUGCAUCUUCUCACAAAACGUUUCGUGUACGUGAUAGUAAACGAAAUACGAAUGUGCUUCGACGAAUAAUAGCAUAUAUUAUAUGUACACACACACACGCGCACACACAUACAUAUACCGUCGACAAUAAUCGCUUCUUCGCGUCUGAACUUUCACCGCGAGAAUGCGAAUGAUACGAGUGAAAAAGAAAGUACCGUUCGACGAUCGAUGCCUGGAAUGUUCGAAUGAUCGUCGAACAGGUUUCGAUCGAUCGAGGAACAAGCUUAUUCCUUUCUACGAUGGUUUCGACGAUGCAUUUCAUCAUCUCAUCCGAUCGCGUUCAUCUUCCGGGGGAAGAUGGAGGAAGUGGUCCCCGGUGGAAAGGGAGAAAUACGUACACGAACACACGAGCGGAGUCUGAAAUUCUGACGAGCGGAAAUUUUGCGGGGUAUUGGAGGGAUUCGAGAUUAUUAUAUUUCUAUUUCUAGGGAACUUGGAUUGAGAGGAGGAGGCGUACGAAGCGAGAACUUGUGCGGGAUUUGUGUAUAGACUGUAAGGAAGAGGAAUUAUUUUUUUCGCGUCGAAACUGCUUCUACUGUAUUCGGGAGAACGUGAUGUAAAAUUGGAAACGAAUGGUAACGAAUUGAUGUGAUUUUCAUUUGCGACGAGUGGCUGUUUGAAAGUAGUGGGAGAACUACUGAGAGAUGAGCGUGCAGCAUCGUAAAUCUGUUCUUUUCUGUAAAUAAUAAUGUAAAUCGAUGAUACUAACGAGGCGAUUUCUCAGAUUAGGUCACGAGAGAGAAUGGUCGUAAUUCCGGGAUCGAGGAGUGUCUCCGCCUCGAUUUUCUUUUCUUUUUUUUUUUUCUUUUUCUCUUUUUCUUUUACGAAAAAAAGACGACGAUCGAUGCUCGCGUUUUUAGAUACCUGUCGUGAUGUAGAUAAAUCUCCAAGUUGCAUAUCUUAAGGAUCGUAAGAUGCGUAUCCCGCGUUGGGUUGCCACGUUGCGAUCGAGAUGUUUGAAUUGAAUUUGAAAAAUCAAUUUUUUUUCCCUCUUUCUCUUUUCUUUUUCUUUUUUUUUUUUUUUUAAGUAACGUAACGAACAUCGUUUCUCUUCUUGCCUAGUUUUUUUUUUCUUUUAUCAUUCACGGAUAGAAUUUACCAGAAAAUUUACUGCUAUUCAAAAUCGUGAGUGGCAACCAUCCGUCCAAGGGGGUGUAGUAGAGACGCCGAUUAAAAAAACACUGCCUAGAAUGAAAAAAAAAAAAAGAAAAAAAGAAAAAAAAACAAACGGGGAAUAUGAAAUAGGAAACGAGAGAAGAAUGGAUUUCCUCCUUUUUUUUUCAUGAUAGGAAGAGAAUUAAGAGAAAUAAAUAAAUAAAUAAAUAAAAGUAAAAAACAAAAAAAAAAUUUAACAUGUCAGUGGGAACAAGAAACUCGCAUCUUCGUAGAAGUCAUAUCACUCUUUUCACGAGAAUCACUCGACGAUCCGUAUAAUAAUACAUAAUAUUUACUCAUCGAUUCUUCGUUCGAUUCUUCGAAAUCGACGUUCUUCGAGAUCGUUAAUCAUAGAUCGUAGAUCGUUCGUAACUUUUGACAUCGUUCAUCGACGCGUUUCGUGUGUCGUUUUCGUAAUAUCGUUUGACAUAUGGGAUCGUUUUCUCUCUCUCUCUCUCUUUCUUUCUUUAAAAAAAAAAGAAAACAAAAGAAAGAAAAAGAUACAAUGAAUCAAUGAACCUCGGUGAACGGGGAACCUUGAACGCGACGGACCAAAACCGCUUCUGUUUGCACGAUUCGAACGAUGAUCGAUGGUCAAUGGGAUUACAAUUUGUAGACAGGAAUAUCAGAAGGGAUGUAAGUCUGGUGGAGGAAAGGAACGAUCGAAUCUCCAAGCGAUUGAAAGAAAAAAAAAAAACGAAAUUGGACGAAAUAUUGGAACGACUACGACUACGACGACUGCUACGUUUCGUUCCGUUUUAGAACGGAAACGGAAGAUCCGAUCGUCACCCUCCGGUACUUAGAGGUCAGAAGAUUUGCUCGAUGCUACAAAAAAAAGAAAUCUGUGUACUUAAUUUUCUAUUUUUACCGUAUUUGAGGCAAUGCGGUCGGGGGGAUGGAGGGAGGGAUUUUUACGCGUUUGAGAGUCGCGUAAAAUUCGGAUUAUUCUCGAAUCAGGGUAAAAAAAAUUGAUUCUCUCGAGUAUGUGGGAGGGGGAGGGGAGGAGAAUUUCAAAUUCACUGCCCACAUGUAUUUUUGGAGAAACGUUUUUUAUAUUCGCUAUUAAGUAAUCGCGCGUGAAUAAUACGAUAUGUCCGGUCGACUCGAUCAUUUUUAUCGAUAUCGUGAUUAUGUAUCGAUUGUGGAUCCGUGAAUCGAUCAUCGUAAUCGAGGUGGCGCGAUGAGGCGAGAUAUUAAAAAUGAUAUCGUGGAGUGACUGGUGACACGAAUUAUUUGAUUAAAUAAUUACAUUAGAGCGCGAAUAUAUACAGCGAUUCGAAACUCGUGGUCGAUAGUACGAUGAGAAGAAGAAGAAGAAGAAGAAGAAUAACAUCAAUCCUGAUAGAUUCGAGCGAGGACUAAACCAUUUAUGAUAAUUACAUUUUUUUUUUUCUAAAAAUUCUCUCGAGUCACUUCGCUUGAACGACUUUAUAGAGGAUAGAAACGGAAUUAGACGCACGACUGACUAAUUAUCGUUAUCGACGAGAUAUUUUUGUAAACGAAAUUCGGAAUAUCGACUUAAAGAGAGGGGGAAAAAAAAAAAAAAUUGCCAAUCGACUGCCAAACGCAAUAGAGAGUAUUAUAAAGCGAUAAGGUUUUACUGUUAAUUACGAUUAAACACCCAUACCGGGGGGAAGGGGGUUUGUUUCCUUUUUUCCAAUUAGAAAUUGUUCCAAAUAAGAGAUAAGAUUUCUUAGAUGUAAUAAUUGUACAUAAUUGUAUAUGAGAGAGGGAUAAGCGUAAGUAGACGAGUCGAUAAAGGAAAAGAUCGACCGGACAAGUUGCAGUUUCCAAUUCAUCGAAUUUCUUUGCUAUAAUAUCUAUCGCUGUACAUGCUGUCGCGAACGCUGUAUUAUCAUUGUUAUAAUUAUUGAUGUUUCUCGUGUAAAUGGAUAAUUGUCACACCCGGGUCGUUCGAGUUUCGUUGUAUGGGAAAUGCACGCGUUCUUGUUCUCUUCCUUCUCUGAAAUUUAAAUGAAAUUGCAGAUCAGUUUCUCACUCGGAUUUCCAAAUUAUGGAAAUGUGUAAACGCGUAGGUGGAUAUAUAUAUAUAUAUAUGUAUGUGUGUAUCCACAGCCAAGAAUCAAUAUCCCGUUUAGUUUAUUUAAUUUCGUUCUUCUCUUUCUUCGAAAAAUAAUUUCGUGUCUUUCAGACGAUUAGUGACGCACGUUUUACGAUGUUUUACGUUUUGUCGUGAUUUUUUUUUCUUUUUUUUUUUUUUUUAAUAGAAAAAGUACUUGGAUACUUUUAUUAAAAGUCGAUUACUUUUACAUCGAUCGAUAACGAUAUCGAUGUACGACGAUUAUUUGUUUGCUUUUCAGUGAAAUUUCCCGGAUCGUAUUGAAAGUAAUUUCUUAUAUUUUUAUAAACUAACUUGUUAAGUUUCAUUUUUUCCUUAAUAUAAUAUUUUUCGUCUUCUCUUUUCUAGAGCUUGUUCCAGUUUCACAAAAUUUCACAUCAAUCCAAUACUAUAAUUAUUGCAUUAUACUAAAAAUCAUUAACGCGACUCUAAAAAUAGUUUUAUGCGCAUAAGAAAUCAAUAAUAAAUUAAUGUGAUAACUAAAUAAAUAAUAAAGGGAGAUAAUUUUUGCAAUCUCAUUAAUAUUCAAUUUCCAUGAAAAUGUUCCAUUGAAACUAAAAGUGUAACUAAAAGAUCGACAGUUUUUAAAUUAUUUGUACAUAAAUAAUAAUAAUAACAAUAAUGAAAAUAAUCAUCGAAUUUAUUUAAGAAAUGAUCCUAUAUAUUUUCUAAUCAAAUUAUUAUCGCGAGCGUAACUCCUCGAUUGAAGUGACGUUGUAUUGCUUGUAAAAAAAAAAAAAAAAAAGAAAAAAAAGAA